AGCGGAGGUGGAAAGAUUUAUCGGUCAAGGAUGAGCUCGCGGCCUAUCAGCUAGUUGGUGGGGUAACGGCUCACCAAGGCGACGACGGGUAGCCGGCCUGAGAGGGUGACCGGCCACACUGGGACUGAGACACGGCCCAGACUCCUACGGGAGGCAGCAGUGGGGAAUAUUGCACAAUGGGCGCAAGCCUGAUGCAGCAACGCCGCGUGAGGGACGAAGGCCUUCGGGUUGUAAACCUCUUUUAGCAGGGAAGAAGCGCAAGUGACGGUACCUGCAGAAAAAGCACCGGCUAACUACGUGCCAGCAGCCGCGGUAAUACGUAGGGUGCAAGCGUUGUCCGGAAUUAUUGGGCGUAAAGAGCUCGUAGGCGGUUUGUCGCGUCUGCUGUGAAAAUCCGAGGCUCAACCUCGGACCUGCAGUGGGUACGGGCAAACUAGAGUGCGGUAGGGGAGAUUGGAAUUCCUGGUGUAGCGGUGGAAUGCGCAGAUAUCAGGAGGAACACCAAUGGCGAAGGCAGAUCUCUGGGCCGUAACUGACGCUGA
Molecule: ribosomal RNA, 542 nt
Filed under: uncultured bacterium
Lineage: Bacteria
Description: bacterial SSU rRNA
Rfam family: Bacterial small subunit ribosomal RNA
Source: RNAcentral